UACGGAGGGUGCAAGCGUUAUCCGGAUUCACUGGGUUUAAAGGGUGCGUAGGCGGGCAGGUAAGUCCGUGGUGAAAUCUCUGAGCUUAACUCAGAAACUGCCAUGGAUACUAUUUGUCUUGAAUAUUGUGGAGGUAAGCGGAAUAUGUCAUGUAGCGGUGAAAUGCUUUGAUAUGACAUAGAACACCAAUUGCGAAGGCAGCUUACUACACAGUUAUUGACGCUGAGGCACGAAAGCGCGGGGAUCAAACAGG
This 253-nucleotide ribosomal RNA is filed under the name uncultured bacterium. RNAcentral's name for it is "partial 16S ribosomal RNA". It matches the Rfam family "Bacterial small subunit ribosomal RNA", at positions 524 to 776 of the family's 1533-position model. The record is from RNAcentral.